Molecule: long non-coding RNA, 1604 nt
Organism: Manis pentadactyla (Chinese pangolin)
Lineage: Eukaryota; Metazoa; Chordata; Mammalia; Pholidota; Manidae
Exons: 5
Source: RefSeq, a predicted model, not a curated record
GAGCGACUUGCCUCCCCUCCUGGGGAGGGACUGCGCCUCCAGCCCUUGGCGCCGCUGGGGUGGCAUCGCCUGGCCCCUAGGGCCGCGCCCUACGUCCUGAGGGAGCACCCUGCCUCGGGCCUGCGUCCUCUCUUUAGAGUGAUUUGGUGCUGAGAACAUGGCAUUCAUGGACUCUGAAGAACAAGGAGUGACACUGAGCCAGUAAGAGUCUCUCUUCUGAUGAACUUUUACUCGAAAUACUGAAAUGUGUAUAAGGCUGCCACUGUUCACAGACUUUAUGUUCAAGGAAAUGCUGUCAAGGAGGGAGCUGUGUGAGCUGCUGAUCCAUGCUCCUGCCCAUGCCUAGAAUAAGGAAUCACAGUGAGAAGCCACAGUGUAAAGAAGAGAGAGCCUCCACUGUCCUCUUCUGUGGUCCUCAAAUUCAUUCACAUUGCUUGGCUUUGUAGUGAGGAGAACUACCAGGUGGAGAUUGCAGGCUGAUGAUCAUCACCUGGUACCUGUGGACAGAAGAGAUGGUCAGCGUGGCACUUAUCAAUGUGUGUAUUUACUAUGAAAUUUACCCUGGGAGAAACAAGGAAAGCAGCUGUGAGAAUGGAAUUUGAAGAAAGGUAAUACCUUCUGGUAAACAACAGCAAGAUCCAUGAAAUCUCUGCAGUCUUCCUGGGUAAGAAGUUGCCAUGAUUUCUGUAGACUUGGUCUUCCUUUUCACUCCUGGAAAUACUCCCUUUAGGGCAGAGUUAAAGCACUUUAAUAGAGAAACACAUCUUUUCUGCUUCUAUUCUGCCUAAGCAGUGCAUACAAAGGAGCUUUGCAUUUUGAAUUCAACUACAACAAAAUUCACUUUCAAAAAACUGCUGUUGAGAUACUUUGGUUGCAGACUUGCUUUGUAUGACAUAUUCAAUAUCUAGGAUAAAAGUGCUUUAUAUUUGCUACAUAACAUAACUGGUAGUGGUAAUGGAUUGUGCCAUGAAAUUUGCCACUUAAUUGUACCAACUUAUUCUUUAGAACUCUGCAAUACAGGGAAAGUAUGACUUGACUAUCAUUAGACUUUAGCUUGGAUUUAUGAUCUAUUCCAAAGAGUUAAAAACUUCUUUUUAAAGUGUAAAUUUUUUAAAAGAAAAAAUUCAUUUGAUCGUUUCAGUCAAGUUUGUGAUAUGUAUUACCUUGCAAAGUAGCAAUGAUAAAAGAAUUGAAUGUAAAAAGAAUGGUUUUAGUUCAAUACCAUGAUCAUUAUGACAUGAAAGACAAAUUAUUUCAUUCACUUCCUGUGUUAAAGAGUGAAAACAAACUACUUCUUAUACCCACUCUUGAGAUAGUAAGUGAAAUGCAAAAAUAUUUAUAGAAAAGUCUGGAGUCACUGCCUUGAAAAAUUUCCAAAAAGUGUUUUCAACAUCUUAAGCUAUAGGGAAAUAAUUGAUGGAUAAUAAGUUACAUGUUCUUUCUUUCUUUUGCCCUGCUUAUCUCUGAGAAUGUGAGGACUUGGCAUUGAAAAUUGCAUUGCCUUACGGACAACCUCAAAGGUCUUUGAAAAAUAAUAUUUUUCAGUUUUGCUGAGGCAAGCAUCAAAUCCCAAACAUGAUUGUCUGAGAACAAAUCAUUUGAUU